Molecule: long non-coding RNA, 180 nt
Organism: Grammomys surdaster
Lineage: Eukaryota; Metazoa; Chordata; Mammalia; Rodentia; Muridae
Exons: 3
Source: RefSeq, a predicted model, not a curated record
CUUGUCUACAAAAACCCAGAUAACUGAGAGUCACAGGUCAGGGAACCCAAGCAGGCCUUGUCAGCAAAGCCUCGAGCUGCUUGCCUAACAAUUUCUCAUCAUUUUGAGCCUUAAGCUGAAGACUUUCCUGGAGCCCAGUAACAAAGAGGAGCGGAGUUUGAUUCCCGGCACCCACGCGGC